UAAAAUGUAAUAAAAUUGUAUAGAUUAGAUUUAAAUAAUUGAAAAUUAAGUCAUAUGGCGGUUAUGAAUCCCAAUUAGAGAGACAUGUUUAGUAAUCGAUGGUGCACGAAAAUCUUACCAAACUUUGUUUAUUUCGCACACCGCCGUCGGAAGAAAUAGAUUAAUUUUUAUUUCUUGAAUUAUUAAUAAAUGUUAAGUCAGGUCAAGGUACGGAUAAUAGUUUGGAUGAAAUGUGUUUUAGUAUAAAAAUUUCAAAUUAUUUUUGAAAUAAAAUAUGAAGUAAAAUUUAACAGUAGAUUAAAAUAAUAAAGUUUAAUCGAACAAGGCUCUUUUUAGUGUA
This 340-nucleotide ribosomal RNA is filed under the name Aquanirmus sp. KY-2002. RNAcentral describes it as "partial 12S ribosomal RNA". The record is from RNAcentral. Lineage: Eukaryota; Metazoa; Arthropoda; Insecta; Psocodea; Philopteridae.